Molecule: ribosomal RNA, 550 nt
Filed under: uncultured bacterium
Lineage: Bacteria
Description: bacterial SSU rRNA
Rfam family: Bacterial small subunit ribosomal RNA
Source: RNAcentral
UAGGGAAUCUUCGGCAAUGGACGGAAGUCUGACCGAGCAACGCCGCGUGAGUGAAGAAGGUUUUCGGAUCGUAAAGCUCUGUUGUAAGAGAAGAACGAGUGUGAGAGUGGAAAGUUCACACUGUGACGGUAUCUUACCAGAAAGGGACGGCUAACUACGUGCCAGCAGCCGCGGUAAUACGUAGGUCCCGAGCGUUGUCCGGAUUUAUUGGGCGUAAAGCGAGCGCAGGCGGUUAAAUAAGUCUGAAGUUAAAGGCUGUGGCUUAACCAUAGUACGCUUUGGAAACUGUUUAACUUGAGUGCAAGAGGGGAGAGUGGAAUUCCAUGUGUAGCGGUGAAAUGCGUAGAUAUAUGGAGGAACACCGGUGGCGAAAGCGGCUCUCUGGCUUGUAACUGACGCUGAGGCUCGAAAGCGUGGGGAGCAAACAGGAUUAGAUACCCUGGUAGUCCACGCCGUAAACGAUGAGUGCUAGGUGUUAGACCCUUUCCGGGGUUUAGUGCCGCAGCUAACGCAUUAAGCACUCCGCCUGGGGAGUACGACCGCAAGGUUG